Molecule: ribosomal RNA, 254 nt
Filed under: uncultured bacterium
Lineage: Bacteria
Description: partial 16S ribosomal RNA
Rfam family: Bacterial small subunit ribosomal RNA
Source: RNAcentral
UACGUAGGGUGCAAGCGUUGUCCGGAAUUAUUGGGCGUAAAGAGCUCGUAGGCGGUCUGUUGCGUCGGCUGUGAAAACCCGGGGCUCAACCCCGGGCCUGCAGCCGAUACGGGGCAGACUAGAGUUCGGCAGGGGAGACUGGAAUUCCUGGUGUAGCGGUGAAAUGCGCAGAUAUCAGGAGGAACACCGGUGGCGAAGGCGGGUCUCUGGGCCGAUACUGACGCUGAGGAGCGAAAGCGUGGGGAGCGAACAGG